GAUGAACGCUAGCUACAGGCUUAACACAUGCAAGUCGAGGGGUAACGAGAGGAAAGCUUGCUUUCCUUGUCGACGACCGGCGCACGGGUGAGUAACGCGUAUCCAACCUGCCCCCAACUAAGGAAUAACCUUGCGAAAGUAAGACUAAUACCUUAUAAUUUCCUCAGAUGUCAUCUGACGAGGAAUAAAGAUUUAUCGGUUGUGGAUGGGGAUGCGUCUGAUUAGCUUGUUGGCGGGGUAACGGCCCACCAAGGCAACGAUCAGUAGGGGUUCUGAGAGGAAGGUCCCCCACAUUGGAACUGAGACACGGUCCAAACUCCUACGGGAGGCAGCAGUGAGGAAUAUUGGUCAAUGGGCGGAAGCCUGAACCAGCCAAGUAGCGUGCAGGAUGACGGCCCUAUGGGUUGUAAACCUCUUUUAUAAGGGAACAAAACGCUCCACGAGUGGAGCUUUGCAUGUACCUUUUGAAUAAGGAUCGGCUAACUCCGUGCCAGCAGCCGCAGUAA
Molecule: ribosomal RNA, 506 nt
Filed under: uncultured bacterium
Lineage: Bacteria
Description: partial 16S ribosomal RNA
Rfam family: Bacterial small subunit ribosomal RNA
Source: RNAcentral